AACGAACGCUGGCGGCGCGCCUAAUACAUGCAAGUCGAACGAGAAGGUGUAGCAAUACACUUGUACAGUGGCGAACGGGUGAGGAAUGCAUGGGCAACCUACCCUCGAGUGGGGAAUAACCAGCCGAAAGGUUGACUAAUACCGCGUACGCUUCCGGGUCUCCGGAUCCGGAAGGAAAGUCACACCGUGGGUGUGACGCUCAAGGAUGGGCUCAUGUCCUAUCAGCUUGNGGUGAGGUAACGGCUCACCAAGGCAACGACGGGUAGCUGGUCUGAGAGGACGAUCAGCCACACUGGCACUGCGACACGGGCCAGACUCCUACGGGAGGCAGCAGUAAGGAAUAUUGCGCAAUGGGCGAAAGCCUGACGCAGCGACGCCGCGUGGGGGA
RNAcentral lists this ribosomal RNA (388 nucleotides) under uncultured bacterium. RNAcentral's name for it is "bacterial SSU rRNA". It matches the Rfam family "Bacterial small subunit ribosomal RNA", at positions 29 to 408 of the family's 1533-position model. The record is from RNAcentral.